AGUGAACGCUGGCGGUAGGCCUAACACAUGCAAGUCGAACGGCAGCACAGGAGAGCUUGCUCUCUGGGUGGCGAGUGGCGGACGGGUGAGGAAUACAUCGGAAUCUACUCUGUCGUGGGGGAUAACGUAGGGAAACUUACGCUAACACCGCAUACGACCUACGGGUGAAAGCAGGGGACCUUCGGGCCUUGCGCGAUUGAAUGAGCCGAUGUCGGAUUAGCUAGUUGGCGGGGUAAGGGCCCACCAAGGCGACGAUCCGUAGCUGGUCUGAGAGGAUGAUCAGCCACACUGGAACUGAGACACGGUCCAGACUCCUACGGGAGGCAGCAGUGGGGAAUAUUGGACAAUGGGCGAAAGCCUGAUCCAGCCAUUCCGCGUGCAGGAUGAAGGCCCUCGGGUUGUAAACUGCUUUUGUACAGAACGAAAGGGUUUCUACUAAUACUAGGAGCUCAUGACGGUACUGUAAGAAUAAGCACCGGCUAACUACGUGCCAGCAGCCGCCGUAA
This 506-nucleotide ribosomal RNA is filed under the name uncultured bacterium. Its description in RNAcentral is "partial 16S ribosomal RNA". It matches the Rfam family "Bacterial small subunit ribosomal RNA", at positions 29 to 523 of the family's 1533-position model. The record is from RNAcentral.